AAAGUUAGAGAAGUCUGACUU
RNAcentral lists this microRNA (21 nucleotides) under Saccharum sp. RNAcentral's name for it is "ssp-miR437c". Its record names the gene ssp-miR437c. Lineage: Eukaryota; Viridiplantae; Streptophyta; Magnoliopsida; Poales; Poaceae. The record is from miRBase by way of RNAcentral.